GACGAACGCUGGCGGCGUGCUUAACACAUGCAAGUCGAACGGUGAAGCGCCUUCCUUUUUGGUGGGUGUGGAUGAGUGGCGAACGGGUGAGUAACACGUGAGUAACCUGCCCCCUUCUUCUGGAUAACCGCAUGAAAGUGUGGCUAAUACGGGAUAUUCUGGGUCUGUCGCAUGAUGGGUCUGGGAAAGAUAUUGUUUCGGUGGGGGAUGGGCUCGCGGCCUAUCAGCUUGUUGGUGGGGUGAUGGCCUACCAAGGCGGUGACGGGUAGCCGGCCUGAGGGGGUGGACGGUCACACUGGGACUGAGACACGGCCCAGACUCCUACGGGAGGCAGCAGUGGGGAAUAUUGCACAAUGGGCGCAAGCCUGAUGCAGCGACGCCGCGUGAGGAAUGGAGGCCUUCGGGUUGUGAACCUCUUUCGCCAGUGAAGCAGGCCUGCCUCGUUUGUGGGUGGGUUGACGGUAGCUGGAUAAGAAGCGCCGGCUAACUACGUG
RNAcentral lists this ribosomal RNA (494 nucleotides) under uncultured bacterium. Its description in RNAcentral is "partial 16S ribosomal RNA". It matches the Rfam family "Bacterial small subunit ribosomal RNA", at positions 28 to 507 of the family's 1533-position model. The record is from RNAcentral.